RNAcentral lists this ribosomal RNA (494 nucleotides) under uncultured bacterium. RNAcentral describes it as "partial 16S ribosomal RNA". It matches the Rfam family "Bacterial small subunit ribosomal RNA", at positions 28 to 507 of the family's 1533-position model. The record is from RNAcentral.
GACGAACGCUGGCGGCGUGCUUAACACAUGCAAGUCGAACGGAAAGGCCUGCUUUCCCUUGUGGAUUGCGGGUACUCGAGUGGCGAACGGGUGAGUAACACGUGAGUGAUCUGCCCCCAACUUGGGUAUAAGCCUGGGAAACUGGGUCUAAUUCCCGAUAGGACUGCAGGGUGGUGCCUGUGGUGGAAAACGAUUUUCUAGUGGUUGGGGAUGAGCUCGCGGCCUAUCAGCUUGUUGGUGGGGUAAUGGCCUACCAAGGCGGCGACGGGUAGCCGGCCUGGGAGGGUGGACGGCCACAUUGGGACUGAGCUACGGCCCAGACUCCUACGGGAGGCAGCAGUGGGGAGUAUUGCACGAUGGGCGGAAGCCUGAUGCAGCGACGCCGCGUGGGGGAUGACGGCCUUCGGGUUGUAAACUCCUUUCGACCGCGAGGAAGCCACCUGGUUGGAAGGGUGGUGACGGUAGUGGUAGAAGAAGCACCGGCUAACUACGUG